UCCCUGUCCCGCGUGGCUGGCUGCUCUGAGUUCGCGCACUAGCGUUUCCAGCGCUCGGUGCUGGUGGCUCCUAAGGACUCCACCUGAUCAGACAGUAUUUUUGUGCUUCUAUCUCACGAAUUUGGCAAUUCUUAAUGAGUGAAUCAUGGCAAUACAUCUCUUAGUAUGAAUUCAAUAAGAGCAGUUUCCAAUUAUAAUCUUAUCAACCAAGACUUUGACUGGAAUGCCAUGUCUGAGAGAGACAUGCCUGGACUUGAUGUUAGCAGAAAGCCUUAAGGAAGGAAAAUGACUGUGAAGCCAAUAAGAGCCCUUUGGAGAAAAGCCUGGUACCUCACUUGGUGACAUAGUUCAAGGCAGUCUUUCCAGCUCGAAGUCCAGAUAAGCAAUAAAACCAGCCACAGCUGAUGUCAGGACCGGCUGCAUUGAGUAAUGAUGCCCUGCCCUGGUGCCAGCCAAUCAAUCAUUGGAGACUACAACCCUGAAAGGACACACUUGGAAAACUGCUGAGUAUUCUAUUAAGAUCUUUCCCUGGGACCUCCCCUAAAUUCUCA
Myotis myotis is the source of this 551-nucleotide long non-coding RNA. RefSeq lists it as uncharacterized. The transcript has 3 exons. Lineage: Eukaryota; Metazoa; Chordata; Mammalia; Chiroptera; Vespertilionidae. The record is from RefSeq and is a predicted model, not a curated record.